AGGCGGGGGAGACUGAGAGGGGGUGGCGCGCGCGCCAUUUCUAGUCGUUUUCAAAGAGCCUCGCGCUCGUUCUCACGGGCCCCCAUCGCCGGCGCCCGCUUUGCCCUGCAUAAUAAAAUGGCUAAUCAGGUGAAUGGUAAUGCGGUACAGUUAAAAGAAGAGGAAGAACCAAUGGACACUUCCAGUGUAACUCACACAGAGCACUACAAGACACUGAUAGAGGCAGGCCUCCCACAGAAGGUGGCAGAGAGACUUGAUGAAAUAUUUCAGACAGGGUUGGUAGCUUAUGUCGAUCUUGAUGAAAGAGCAAUUGAUGCUCUCAGAGAAUUUAAUGAAGAAGGCGCCCUCUCUGUCCUCCAACAGUUUAAGGAAAGUGACCUGUCUCAUGUACAGAACAAAAGUGCAUUUUUAUGUGGAGUUAUGAAGACCUACAGGCAAAGGGAGAAACAAGGGAGCAAGGUACAAGAAUCAACAAAGGGACCUGAUGAAGCAAAGAUUAAGGCUUUGCUUGAGAGGACUGGUUACACGUUAGAUGUAACCACAGGUCAGAGGAAAUAUGGUGGUCCUCCUCCAGAUAGUGUGUAUUCUGGUGUACAACCUGGCAUUGGGACAGAGGUUUUUGUAGGUAAGAUACCAAGAGAUCUCUAUGAAGAUGAGUUGGUGCCACUGUUUGAAAAGGCUGGUCCCAUUUGGGACUUGCGUCUUAUGAUGGAUCCUCUGUCUGGUCAGAAUAGAGGAUAUGCAUUCAUUACUUUCUGUGGAAAGGAUGCCGCACAGGAAGCUGUCAAGCUGUGUGACAGCUAUGAAAUCCGUCCUGGUAAACACCUUGGAGUAUGCAUCUCAGUGGCAAACAACAGGCUGUUUGUUGGAUCGAUUCCAAAGAACAAAACCAAGGAAAACAUAUUGGAAGAAUUCAGCAAAGUCACAGGUUUAACAGAGGGUUUGGUGGACGUUAUUCUCUAUCAUCAACCCGAUGACAAAAAGAAGAAUCGGGGGUUCUGCUUCCUUGAGUAUGAAGACCACAAGUCGGCAGCACAAGCCCGGCGCAGGCUUAUGAGUGGGAAAGUCAAAGUCUGGGGCAAUGUUGUGACCGUGGAGUGGGCCGACCCUGUGGAAGAACCAGAUCCGGAGGUUAUGGCCAAGGUGAAAGUUUUAUUUGUGAGAAAUUUGGCCACUACAGUGACAGAGGAAAUAUUGGAGAAAUCCUUUUCAGAAUUUGGGAAACUAGAAAGAGUGAAGAAACUAAAAGAUUAUGCCUUUGUUCACUUUGAAGACCGGGGAGCAGCAGUUAAGGCCAUGGAUGAGAUGAAUGGGAAAGAAAUAGAAGGGGAAGAAAUUGAGAUAGUGUUAGCCAAGCCUCCGGACAAGAAAAGGAAAGAGCGCCAGGCUGCCAGACAAGCCUCCAGAAGUACUGCGUAUGAAGAUUAUUACUACCAUCCCCCACCUCGUAUGCCGCCUCCUCUGAGAGGCCGGGGGCGUGGUGGGGGGAGAGGUGGCUAUGGCUACCCCCCCGAUUAUUAUGGCUAUGAAGAUUAUUAUGAUGACUACUAUGGCUAUGAUUACCAUGACUACCGUGGAGGCUAUGAAGACCCCUACUAUGGCUAUGAUGAUGGCUAUGCAGUAAGAGGAAGAGGAGGAGGAAGGGGUGGGCGCGGUGCUCCGCCACCACCACGGGGGCGCGGAGCACCACCUCCACGAGGUAGAGCUGGCUAUUCUCAGAGGGGGGCACCUUUGGGACCGCCAAGAGGAGCUCGGGGCGGGAGAGGGGGCCCUGCACAGCCACAGAGAGGCCGUGGUUCGCGAGGAGCUCGGGGUAACCGUGGGGGCAACGUAGGAGGCAAGAGAAAGGCCGAUGGGUACAACCAGCCUGACUCCAAGCGCCGUCAGACCAACAGCCAGCAGAACUGGGGCUCCCAGCCCAUCGCCCAGCAGCCGCUUCAGCAAGGUGGCGACUAUUCUGGGAAGCGUGGUUGAGGCUGCCCUGACCUGACAUGUCAUGAUGUCGACUUGCUAGGUGGGGUUCGCUGGGGACGAUACCAAUGGAGUUGUUGUAGAUGGUCUUCAUGAAUUGGCGCAUUCACGAUCACCCUGCGGCUAACCUGGUAAUGAGGCUCUCUGAACUUAGCUAGGCGGGUCCUUGGAUGGCAGACACCCAGCUCACCACUGGGCCCGUGCUCAGUCUUUGCAGCUCGCCAGGACCUUCCGGAGCUUGCACUUUGCCUGGCAUUGCCUUCGGGAACCCAGGUCACUUCCACACUACCAUGUUACUUCAAAGGAAGACUUCAAUGGAGGUGAUUUUGAUAUCAAUAUUAAUAAAAUCACAUUUUUGGUACUGAAGUAAGAUAGCCCUAAUGUAUUUUCUUCAUCUUACCUAUCUUCCUUACUCUGAGAUGACUUUCAUUCUCUCUUUAACUUAUCUGGACAUCAGCUCCAAGGGCAUAUUUCAGUAGGUUUUGGGAAAUCCUUGGAGAGGAACCUUUGAGAAGGUUCUGGGAGAGCCCUGAGAGGGUUGUGGCACUCUCCUAUGCAUUUUUGGGGCUUAGUGGCUAUGUACCUGCCCUUUCUUCUUUUCUUGAUCCACUUUACAGCUCUGUAUGUUGUAAAAGGAAAGCUUGUAAAAGGCAACUUAUAUAAGGAAUCUGUUGCUCCUCAGGGAUAGUUUUAUAGUAGUAAAUGGUAGAAAUACUUAUAAGCUCCAUGCAUUUCAACAUGGUUUUCUAAGUAUUUUCAAAAUAUGAGAAUGGAACAUUGCACAGUGCAGGAAUUAUUUUCUAACUUGCAUUUCUCUAGCACUUCGGCAUCUUCCAUAGGGACUCCCUGAGAUACACAAAGCAGGAAGCAUCAUCUCUGUUUUACUGAUGAGGAAGCAUGCUUUCAGACAGGGGAAGGGACUGGCUGAAGACAAUAUGGUCAGUCAGAAAACAACGUGUUUCAUGUAUGAAAUGUUUGCACAUAGACAAACAUGGCCUCCAUCACUGUAAUUGUGCAGUAAGAUUAUUACUACAAGAUAAAUAAACUUUGAGAUAACAAUGCAAUCUGCUAACCUAUUAUUUUGCCUGAGAUGGAAAAUACAAAACUUUUGUUGGGGUAUAUGCCCUAAUAAAAUUUCACCUGAUGCUGACUAUAAUCAAAUGUUAGCUGACAUAUUCUUGUCAUAAAUAAAGGGAUUUACUGUGUUUAAACAAGCCUAGUAAAGCUAUCUUUCUUAAACCAAUUCUCUUAGUGGCUUGUAAUGGACAAGGCUGUUCAGUAAAGCAUUUGUGUUAUGAUGAAGGUAGAGUCCUAUUUGAGUGUAGUGAAAUCAUUUCAUUCUCUUAAAAAGGCUAUUGGUAGGCUGUGUGUGGUCCAAAAGCCUGAACUAACAUAGCUUGACCGGCAUGCACACUCAUCCUGUGACUGGGAAAGCCUGGAGAGUAAGGCCAUUCACAAGUGUCUUAAUCUUCUUGGGAGGAAAUUCAACAAAAUUUGUAGUUUUUGGUAGAGUGUUUAUGUAUCUGUACAAACUGUAUUGAAAUACCUGUAUAAUGUUUAAUUUUUUUAAUAAAA
RNA transcript from Sarcophilus harrisii (Tasmanian devil), 3546 nucleotides. It is a transcript of the gene named heterogeneous nuclear ribonucleoprotein R, with no coding region annotated. The transcript is spliced from 13 exons. The record is from RefSeq and is a predicted model, not a curated record. NCBI's taxonomy places the organism in Eukaryota, Metazoa, Chordata, Mammalia, Dasyuromorphia, Dasyuridae.